Molecule: long non-coding RNA, 754 nt
Organism: Polypterus senegalus (gray bichir)
Lineage: Eukaryota; Metazoa; Chordata; Cladistia; Polypteriformes; Polypteridae
Exons: 4
Source: RefSeq, a predicted model, not a curated record
CCGUGGGUACAGGUCUGUACAUACUCUAUCAAUUCGUUUUCUCUUUUAUACGGCAUUGAAGUUUCCAGUAAAAUGCUGAAUGGAUCUUCAUAAAGAAACGCGGACGGAGCGCGAAGCCUCUGCUUAGAUUGCCUUUUCAUUAACGAGGCUUUGUUAGGAUGUAAUUAAGAGAGCAAAUGCCACAGGAAUAUGCAAAGUGGCAUCAAAUUAUAUCGAUUAGUGGAAAUGACUGACUGGAGAACUGGUUUGGGACAGCAAAGCUACAGCGUUAGUGGGACUUAAAGCGGGCCUGAAGCUGCGGAUUUCUAUUCCAGACAGUAGAUUCAUCCUCCUCCUAAGAGUGGAGAAGAAAGUGUACUCCACUUUAACCAAAUAACUGGAGUGAAGAACCUGUGCCAAAAAAGCAAGUUCUUAGGAGAUCACUGCAGCUCUUUGACCCCGGACUGAAUGUACCAGUGAUGGAGACGGUGGCAAAUCUGUCAGAGGCCACCAGAAUGGUUGGUUGUGCCAGAGACUGAAGACCAGCUCAGCCAAGAUGACUGGAUUUGGACCAUUCUUUUGAAAACUAAAUGCUUUUCUCAAUUGUUUUUAUUUGAUUGCAUGUUCUCUUAACUGGUUAUGUUCUAAUUUUUAUGAUGUGUAGUGAACUUAAAUGAAGGUUUGCCCUAACUGUUUGUUUAUAUACACUUUUCAUGGCUAAUAUAUUUUUUUUUAAAAGAUGGAAUGGAGACUCGAUUGUUUAACCUCCUUUACA